ACGAACGCUGGCGGCGUGCCUAAUACAUGCAAGUUGAGCGCUGAAGGUUGGUACUUGUACCAACUGGAUGAGCAGCGAACGGGUGAGUAACGCGUGGGGAAUCUGCCUUUGAGCGGGGGACAACAUUUGGAAACGAAUGCUAAUACCGCAUAAAAACUUUAAACACAAGUUUUAAGUUUGAAAGAUGCAAUUGCAUCACUCAAAGAUGAUCCCACGUUGUAUUAGCUAGUUGGUGAGGUAAAGGCUCACCAAGGCGAUGAUACAUAGCCGACCUGAGAGGGUGAUCGGCCACAUUGGGACUGAGACACGGCCCAAACUCCUACGGGAGGCAGCAGUAGGGAAUCUUCGGCAAUGGACGAAAGUCUGACCGAGCAACGCCGCGUGAGUGAAGAAGGUUUUCGGAUCGUAAAACUCUGUUGGUAGAGAAGAACGUUGGUGAGAGUGGAAAGCUCAUCAAGUGACGGUAACUACCCAGAAAGGGACGGCUAACUACGUG
RNAcentral lists this ribosomal RNA (496 nucleotides) under uncultured bacterium. Its description in RNAcentral is "partial 16S ribosomal RNA". It matches the Rfam family "Bacterial small subunit ribosomal RNA", at positions 29 to 507 of the family's 1533-position model. The record is from RNAcentral.